This 867-nucleotide ribosomal RNA is filed under the name uncultured archaeon. RNAcentral's name for it is "bacterial SSU rRNA". It matches the Rfam family "Archaeal small subunit ribosomal RNA", at positions 1 to 878 of the family's 1478-position model. The record is from RNAcentral.
CUCCGGUUGAUCCUGCCGGACCCGACUGCUAUCAGAGUGGGACUAAGCCAUGCGAGUCAACAUAGCAAUAUGUGGCAUACGGCUCAGUAACACGUAGUCAACAUGCCCAGGGGACGUGGAUAACCUCGGGAAACUGAGGAUAAACCGCGAUAGGUCAUCACUUCUGGAAUGGGUAAUGACUUAAAUCUAUAUGGCCCCUGGAUUGGACUGCGGCCGAUCAGGCUGUUGGUGAGGUAAUGGCCCACCAAACCUGUAACCGGUACGGGCUCUGAGAGGAGGAGCCCGGAGAUGGGCACUGAGACAAGGGCCCAGGCCCUAUGGGGCGCAGCAGGCGCGAAACCUCUGCAAUAGGCGAAAGCUUGACAGGGUUACUCUGAGUGAUUUCCGUUAAGGAGAUCUUUUGGCACCUCUAAAAAUGGUGCAGAAUAAGGGGUGGGCAAGUCUGGUGUCAGCCGCCGCGGUAAUACCAGCACCCCGAGUGGUCGGGACGUUUAUUGGGCCUAAAGCAUCCGUAGCCGGUUCUACAAGUCUUCCGUUAAAUCCACCUGCUUAACAGAUGGGCUGCGGAAGAUACUAUAGAGCUAGGAGGCGGGAGAGGCAAGCGGUACUCGAUGGGUAGGGGUAAAAUCCGUUGAUCCAUUGAAGACCACCAGUGGCGAAGGCGGCUUGCCAGAACGCGCUCGACGGUGAGGGAUGAAAGCUGGGGGAGCAAACCGGAUUAGAUACCCGGGUAGUCCCAGCUGUAAACGAUGCAGACUCGGUGAUGAGUUGGCUUAUUGCUAACUCAGUGCCGCAGGGAAGCCGUUAAGUUUGCCGCCUGGGGAGUACGGUCGCAAGACUGAAACUUAAAGGAAUUGCGGGGGAGCA